Molecule: unclassified non-coding RNA, 387 nt
Filed under: Hevea brasiliensis (rubber tree)
Lineage: Eukaryota; Viridiplantae; Streptophyta; Magnoliopsida; Malpighiales; Euphorbiaceae
Source: RNAcentral
GAGAUUUUAAUCUCCUAAUCCUAAGAGGGAAAUAAAUCUACAUUGUUGCAAUAUUAGAUAAUCCAAAACACAUCAGGAAGUUUAGAUAAAAGAAGAAAAACUAUAACCUAGUUGAAAUAUGAAAACUAAAAAAAAAAAUCCUCAUUAAAAUAGGAAAAUUAACUAAAUCUACACUAAAUCAGUGGCUGAAUUUCUUCCAAAACAGUUUGGAAACCACCACAUUUAUUAUUCUUUUCAUUCAGGUACUUGGGUGCAUUACAAAGAAAAACCUCAAAUAGAAAUUUCAAAAUGUUGAAGAUGCUCAAAAUGCCAUUGCUUCUUUGAUGCUAUGUUUUGAUGGAAGAAUUUCAAAUAAGGGAUUGAAACAUGAUUUUAGUUUAAAUUGUU